UCUUUCAUUACAUUACAUUUUGUAUUGAUUAACAAUAAUUAGUUAAAAUUACCAUGUUUUUACUGCAGGUGCCUCCAGUGGGUGAAAGCCUUGAAAAUUGGCUUUCAAAAGCAUACUCAAGCCAUCUGUAGUGACCACUUUGAUGGGGUUCAUUUUGGCAGCAAGGGCCAGCUGCUGCCGACUGCAACCCCACGUCACACAGAUGGCCAUGAGGAGCAACCACCCACUGGGUUCCCGGCAUCAUCACACAAUGCAGCCGCCAUUGACUUGGAGCCAAUGGAGUUGGAACUCUCCUCUACACAGAUUGUGCUGCCACAUUAUGAUCCGAACACAGGUUUCGGUAAUACCCAAGAGAAUGUGGCAGCCGAAGAGGAGAGUCCAAGAAAGAGACCACGGGUGGAGCUGAACAGAACUCAGCCACCCCCAGAGGAAUGUGGCAUUAUCCAACCCCACACACAGCUGCUCAGUGUCCCCCAAGCCACACAUGAAAAUAAUGAGCUGCAGCCUGACACUGAUGAGUGUGCUCCCCAUUGCACUGCACCAGCUCCAUGU
This is a long non-coding RNA of Eriocheir sinensis (Chinese mitten crab), 552 nucleotides long. RefSeq lists it as uncharacterized. The record is from RefSeq and is a predicted model, not a curated record. The transcript is spliced from 4 exons. Lineage: Eukaryota; Metazoa; Arthropoda; Malacostraca; Decapoda; Varunidae.